This 468-nucleotide ribosomal RNA is filed under the name uncultured bacterium. RNAcentral's name for it is "partial 16S ribosomal RNA". It matches the Rfam family "Bacterial small subunit ribosomal RNA", at positions 28 to 507 of the family's 1533-position model. The record is from RNAcentral.
GACGAACGCUGGCGGCGUGCUUAACACAUGCAAGUCGAACGGAAAGGCCCUGCUUUUGUGGGGUGCUCGAGUGGCGAACGGGUGAGUAACACGUGAGUAACCUGCUCUUGACUUUGGGAUAACUUCAGGAAACUGGGGCUAAUACCGGAUAGGAGCUCCUGCUGCAUGGUGGGGGUUGGAAAGUUUCGGCGGUUGGGGAUGGACUCGCGGCUUAUCAGCUUGUUGGUGGGGUAGUGGCUUACCAAGGCUUUGACGGGUAGCCGGCCUGAGAGGGUGACCGGCCACAUUGGGACUGAGAUACGGACCAGACUCCUACGGGAGGCAGCAGUGGGGAAUAUUGCACAAUGGGCGGAAGCCUGAUGCAGCAACGCCGCGUGCGGGAUGACGGCCUUCGGGUUGUAAACCGCUUUCGCCUGUGACGAAGCGUGAGUGACGGUAAUGGGUAAAGAAGCACCGGCUAACUACGUG